RNAcentral lists this ribosomal RNA (460 nucleotides) under uncultured bacterium. RNAcentral's name for it is "partial 16S ribosomal RNA". It matches the Rfam family "Bacterial small subunit ribosomal RNA", at positions 338 to 795 of the family's 1533-position model. The record is from RNAcentral.
CCUACGGGGCGCAGCAGUGAGGAAUAUUGGUCAAUGGACGAGAGUCUGAACCAGCCAAGUAGCGUGAAGGAUGACUGCCCUAUGGGUUGUAAACUUCUUUUAUAAAGGAAUAAAACGAGGCACGUGUGCCUUUUUGCAUGUACUUUAUGAAUAAGGAUCGGCUAACUCCGUGCCAGCAGCCGCGGUAAUACGGAGGAUCCGAGCGUUAUCCGGAUUUAUUGGGUUUAAAGGGAGCGUAGAUGGGUUGUUAAGUCAGUUGUGAAAGUUUGCGGCUCAACCGUAAAAUUGCAAUUGAUACUGGCAUUCUUGAGUACAGUUGAGGUAGGCGGAAUUCGUGGUGUAGCGGUGAAAUGCUUAGAUAUCACGAAGAACCCCGAUUGCGAAGGCAGCUUACUAAACUGUGACUGACAUUGAUGCUCGAAAGUGUGGGUAUCAAACAGGAUUAGAUACCCGAGUAGUC